GAUGAAGAACGCAGCGAAAUGCGAUAGGUAAUGUGAAUUGCAGAAUUCAGUGAAUCAUCGAAUCUUUGAACGCACAUUGCGCCCGCCAGUAUUCUGUCGGGCAUGCCUGUUCGAGCGUCAUUUCAACCAUCAAGCCCCAGGCUUGUGUUGGGGACCUGCGGCUGCCGCAGGCCCUGAAAACCAGUGGCGGGCUCGCUGUCACACCGGGCGUAGUAGAUUUUAUCUCGCUCAGGGCGUGCUGCGGGUUCCGGCCGUUAAAAAGCCUUUUUUACCCAGGGUUGACCUCGGAUCAGGUAGGAAGACCCGCUGAACUUAGGCAUAUCAAUAAGCGGAGGA
RNAcentral lists this unclassified non-coding RNA (336 nucleotides) under soil metagenome. Its description in RNAcentral is "partial contains 5.8S ribosomal RNA, internal transcribed spacer 2, and large subunit ribosomal RNA". The stretch from base 1 to 120 matches the Rfam family "5.8S ribosomal RNA", at positions 35 to 154 of the family's 154-position model. The record is from RNAcentral.